AUGCCGCGCGAAUCCCGCCGCCGCGACGACAAACCAGGGGACUCCUCCCCUCCCCCGCCGCCUCCCAUGCCGCGCGAACCCCGCCGCUGCGACGACAAACCAGGGGGCUCCUCCCCUCCUCCGCCGCUUCCCAUGCCGCGCGAACGCCGCCGCGGCGACGACAGACCAGAGCGCUCCUCCCUUCCUUGCAUGCCGCUCGAGCGCCACCGCCCCGACCAGGGACACUCGUGGUUCCACUUUCGCCUCCCCAAUGGCCAGCAAAUCCCUGUCUACAAAGAUAGACAGGGAGUUCUCUUCACCGACCAUUGUGGGCCGACACGACCCGUCGCAGAUGUCUGCAAUGAACUCUUCCCCGGCCUCAUCCCCGAUCGCCCACCGCCGGUCGCAGACCCUGAGUCCAAACGCCCCGAGGAAGAUCAAAAAACGCCCACUCCAAACCCGCAAUAUGUUGAUGAUCUGCUGAACAAAGCCUAUGCUGAUCACAAACUGCAGCUGGCUCAAAGGCCUAAGGAGUUGCUUGACAGUACAACACUUGUGGAAUCAUCCAUCACUAAUGCUGCUUCUUCCUCUCUGCCACAGUCACCAUCGUGUGAGGUGCCAGAUAUCUUGGAAUUGGAGCUCAACACUACUCACUCAUUGUCUUCAUGUGUCUUUUCAUUGACGCCUACUGGUCUACUUAUUAAAUAUUUUGUCAGAGUUGAUAAGGAGGGACGUUUUCAUACAUAUCCUGAUCGCGGUGGACCCUUUCAGAGUUUACAUGAAGCUCAACAAGCUAUUGACUCACAUCAUGUCGUUGGGCGAAAUAACUUGUGCAUGGAUGGACUUUCAUCUAGGGAGAAGUCUGUGCGGUAUGCUUUAUACUGGCCUCAUGAUGGCACAAGAAGAAAUUCUGCAGAAGCCUUUGCUGCCAUGAAGACCCGUCGCCCUAAACAGGAAGUUGUUAAAGCUCUACUGGACAAGUACAACGAGGACAAUGAUCUUUUGGGGGAUCUUGCAUAUCGACUAGAAGAAAUAGUGAGAUAUAAACCAUGUUUUGACGGGAAAGACUGUGAUUAUAGGUCAUAUUCACAUUUGAAUAUGACCAUAAAGAUUAAAGGAGCUGAUGAUCCCCGCAAGAAGCUGUAUUUUGCUGAAGUCACUUGUAUGAGAGGCGAACAUGAAGAGUAUGUGCUCACCUGUAUCUGCGCAGUUGAACCUGAUGCCAAUGGUGAAUGCCUUGUCUGUGGAGAUGAAAUGAAGCACCCCAUUGAUGCUGAAUACAACCAUGGUCGCUCCACGCCAAUCUUUAGAUGUUGUUCCCAUGCAGAUGCAAAAGCCUUGGGUGAGGAGUUAAUUACCGUGCAUGAUGAGGCUUGGCUGGAAAAGGAGGAAGCUAGGGUGAGACAAGUGUUCGAGGAAGUGGCUGAGGAUAUCAAGAAGGAGAAAGCGGCGAAACUGGCCGAGGCUAUCAAGGAGGAGAAAGCGGCGAAACUGGCUAAGGCUAUCAAGGAGAAUGCGUUAAAGGAAGUGAAUGAGGCUACGGAGGUGGGCACCAUAGGGCAUGGCCAUGGAAAGAGCGCCAAGUAUGUAGUACCUGCUAGACGAAAAUGA
This 1590-nucleotide ribosomal RNA is filed under the name Triticum aestivum (bread wheat). Its description in RNAcentral is "partial small subunit ribosomal RNA". The record is from RNAcentral. Lineage: Eukaryota; Viridiplantae; Streptophyta; Magnoliopsida; Poales; Poaceae.